This 253-nucleotide ribosomal RNA is filed under the name uncultured bacterium. RNAcentral describes it as "partial 16S ribosomal RNA". It matches the Rfam family "Bacterial small subunit ribosomal RNA", at positions 524 to 776 of the family's 1533-position model. The record is from RNAcentral.
UACAGAGGGUGCAAGCGUUACUCGGAAUUACUGGGCGUAAAGCGUGCGUAGUCGGUUAUUUAAGUCGGAUGUGAAAUCCCCGGGCUCAACCUGGGAAUUGCAUUCGAUACUGGAUAGCUAGAGUUCGGCAGAGGGAAGUGGAAUUUCAGGUGUAGCGGUGAAAUGCGUAGAUAUCUGAAGGAACAUCAGUGGCGAAAGCGACUUCCUGGACCAGAACUGACGAUCAGGCACGAAAGCGUGGGGAGCAAACAGG